Molecule: ribosomal RNA, 370 nt
Filed under: uncultured Thermus sp.
Lineage: Bacteria; Thermotogati; Deinococcota; Deinococci; Thermales; Thermaceae
Description: bacterial SSU rRNA
Rfam family: Bacterial small subunit ribosomal RNA
Source: RNAcentral
UGCCCGCGACGGGGAGCCCUAGCACAGGUGCUGCAUGGCCGUCGUCAGCUCGUGCCGUGAGGUGUGGGUUAAGUCCCGCAACGAGCGCAACCCCCGCCGUUAGUUGCCAGCGGUUCGGCCGGGCACUCUAACGGGACUGCCCGCGAAAGCGGGAGGAAGGAGGGGACGACGUCUGGUCAGCAUGGCCCUUACGGCCUGGGCGACACACGUGCUACAAUGCCCACUACAAAGCGAGGCCACCCGGCAACGGGGAGCUAAUCGCAAAAAGGUGGGCCCAGUUCGGAUUGGGGUCUGCAACCCGACCCCAUGAAGCCGGAAUCGCUAGUAAUCGCGGAUCAGCCAUGCCGCGGUGAAUACGUUCCCGGGCCUU